GGUUGAUCCUGCCAGUAGUCAUAUGCUUGUCUCAAAGAUUAAGCCAUGCAUGUCUAAGUAUAAACAAAUUUGUACUGUGAAACUGCGAAUGGCUCAUUAAAUCAGUUAUAGUUUAUUUGAUGGUGCUUUGCUACAUGGAUAACUGUGGUAAUUCUAGAGCUAAUACAUGCAAUCAAGCCCCGACUUCUGGGAGGGGUGUAUUUAUUAGAUAAAAAACCAACGCGGUUCGCCGCUCCACUGGUGAUUCAUAAUAACUUGUCGAAUCGCAUGGCCUUGUGCUGGCGAUGCUUCAU
Molecule: ribosomal RNA, 293 nt
Filed under: uncultured eukaryote
Lineage: Eukaryota
Description: partial 18S ribosomal RNA
Rfam family: Eukaryotic small subunit ribosomal RNA
Source: RNAcentral